Haliotis rubra (blacklip abalone) is the source of this 424-nucleotide long non-coding RNA. RefSeq lists it as uncharacterized. NCBI's taxonomy places the organism in Eukaryota, Metazoa, Mollusca, Gastropoda, Lepetellida, Haliotidae. The transcript is spliced from 3 exons. The record is from RefSeq and is a predicted model, not a curated record.
ACUAUAUACAAGAGAUCUCCCAUGCAAAGUUGACGCUUCCAGGGAAUAUGAAUCACAACAGAUAAUUUAGCAUUGUGGGUACUUGGGACGAAGUGGUGAUUUCCCUUGAUCUUUGUCUCACUGCCUAUAUAUUGGACGGACCAAUUCUAAUCAACGAAAAAGGAAGGCAAGGACGAAAUGACCUUGAUCAUGUCAACAGUAACUCUUCUACUACAGCUGCUAUGUUCAGUUUCAGGUAUACGUGGAGCGUCCCAUUGCCUCUGGCCGUCUGUGUCAAACCCCUGCCCUGCCUGCGAGAUAGGAUGGUAUGGUGAUGUCUGUAACUUCAACUGUUCCUUCUGCGACAGCGGCGGCUGUCACAGGGACACCGGGAUAUGUAAACAGUGCCGAGCCGGCUACUUCUCUCACACCUGUAACGUGACAU